Molecule: long non-coding RNA, 351 nt
Organism: Strongylocentrotus purpuratus (purple sea urchin)
Lineage: Eukaryota; Metazoa; Echinodermata; Echinoidea; Camarodonta; Strongylocentrotidae
Exons: 2
Source: RefSeq, a predicted model, not a curated record
AAGUGAGUUACGAGGUUUUUGCUUUUAUCUACAUUGAGAUACGAGUUUUUAGUUGUUAUUCAAAUUGAGAUACGAGUUCUUACUUUCAACUCUGAAUGAGUUAAGAGGUUUUGGUUGAAUAAGUUACGAGGAUUUGAAUACACUAACUUCGGUACUGUUAGGCCGUGUGUGAGUUACAAGGAAAAGGAAUUACGUAUCUUAUGUUACGAGGUUUUGUCAGUGCAGCUUCAAAGGGGGUUAAAGUUACGAGGUUUAGUUUAAGGGUGUUUGUGUGGAUUUGUGAAAAACCGAGACAGGAGGCGUUCCAUGGAUUUAUCAGGUGGUGUCGUAGACCAUUAGCUACAAAAUUAU